Molecule: long non-coding RNA, 2813 nt
Organism: Pseudopipra pipra
Lineage: Eukaryota; Metazoa; Chordata; Aves; Passeriformes; Pipridae
Exons: 2
Source: RefSeq, a predicted model, not a curated record
GUGAGGGGGUGCAGUGCAAAGUGGGGAGCAGAGAAAUGGGAGGGAGCUAAGGCAAGGCUGGCACCGGGAGAGGAAAGGCAAGAAGGGAUGCAGAGAGACGAUGGGGGUGCAGGAAUCAAAGGCACCCCAGUGCAAGGGCGGGGAGGUGCCAAAGGAAAGAAGGAAAACGGGAUCUGCGAGCAGGUGCCUGCUGCUGGAAGGGAGCAGAGAGGUGACACAGCACUGCACCGUGCCCAGCAGUGUGUGGGUGGCAAGGAGAUGGAGGGCUGCACAGCCCAGGCACCCUGUGGGGAGUCAGACGGGGUUUGUGGGGCUGGCAGAGCACCUUGGCUUGUCAGGAAGAGCCCAGCAGCCACCUCUGUGUUUGCUCCUUGAAGAGGCACAGCUGUGGUCUGCGUAUCACUGGGAGCAGGAGAGCUGCGGGGCAGUGGGGUUUGUGGGACAUGGAGGGGUCUGAUGGGCACUGGCUGCUAUUCUGGCCCAGCCUGGAUCUGUAACCCCAUCUGUGCUCGCUGGAACGGCCGUGCCCUUCGCCCCGGUCACCAGCCGGGUCUGAGUCACCAGGAAAUCUGAUAAGGCUCCAAUAAAACCACUGGAGUAGCGUUGAGGGGGGGUUGCUUGGCACUGUGUGGCCGGGCUCAGCCGCCCUGAUUUCUUGGCUCUGCUCCCGACAUCCUGAGUGUCAUAUGUGUGUGUGAUUAGAACAGUCCAGACCAGUGGGAGUUUUGACCUGGUUUAGCUAAACUUCAGAAGCUAAGGGGCCUUUCGGUAAAGAUGCAGUCCCUAGUCCUUGGGGGGGCAAUGUGUGGGGAAGGCACGGGCUCUUUUUCCAUGACAUGUGGCAGCUAAACCUCGAGCUUUGAAGGUUACGCCUGUUGGUUUGCAUCGGUUACAUUCUUAAUUUAAGACGGCAUCAGUUCCCAGAGCGCUGGUGCUUGGAAGGCUGCAGGGAAUGCAGCCCUUCCCGGCAGGCAGGAGGGGAGCCCAGCAGCCCCUGCUGCAGCUCCUCGGUGGAAAUCAUCCCCAAACAGUGACCCAUCAAUUAAAGCGACUCAUCAGCCCCAGCAGGAACCAGCUAGGUGUGUCAAUUCCUCUCUUCCGCUUGGUUAUGUGCUGGAUAUUCAAAUUAAUCUGUUUUAGCAAUUAGACAAGAAAUCCUGAAGCGCUUCUCUUUUUGAAAGGGCUUAGUCAUAACUGGGUGAGAAGCCUGAGCUGAGGCGAUGCGGUUGGUACACUUUGGGUUGAGGCAGGACUGUGCACUGGCAGCGAGAGACUCGCUGAGGCGAAAACACGGGGGCUGGUUUGCUUUCAGAAACAGUUCCUGGAAGCUAAAACAGCAGGUUCCCAACUGGCUGGAGACUGUUGAACUCUGCAAAAAAUUCCGGUUGGUGCAGAUUCUUGACAAGGAGGAAGACUUUCCAUCCCUGGAGGUGUCCAAGGCCAGGUUGGACGGGGCUUGGAACAAGCUGGUCUAGUGGAAGGUGUCCCUGGAUAGUCUUUUACAGACCAUCCAGCCCAAACCAUUCGGUGAUUCUGAUUCUAUAUUCCUGCUUCCUUCGGAUCAGGAGAUGAAAACCUGGAGAUACCCAGUUAAACCUGUGUUGCCAAGUUAAUCCAUCACUGCAUGGAUUAUCCAUGUCACUGCAGCGCUCUGACAGUGGCAGAUACCCCCAUCAGAGCCUUGGGGCUGGACCUGCCUUGGGGCUUCAUCAGUUCUUUGUGUCUUCUUUGUGUUAGGAGAGGACUCCAAUUACCUCCAGCUUGUCCUGGCCCAGCUGAGGUGCUCAGAGUGACUCCUGGAACACUAUCCUUGCACUGGGAGAGAAUGUAAUUAGAAUUAAGCUCCUUAGCCUGGGAAGGGCACAGGGUGUAAAAAUUGAACUUUAUGUGCAUGUUGUGGGUUUCUUACACUGAAUUUUCUUUUUUUUUUUCCCUGCGUGUAGCAUAGAUUGAGGAUAGAAAAGGAGACAGAUUUAUUGAAAGUGUUAAAAAUGCCUUCUGAAUUAAAUUGUUUUCCUUCAAACACUGUAAAAAGGGGCAAGGCCAGCUCUCAGGCAGUUUUAUUCCUUGCUCCCUGUAAAUUUCCUUAAAACCCACACCCUGUUUCAUGAGGGUACUUCCCCAGGUGCAGGAGCUGAGGUGCUGGGAGAACACCUUGUUUCCAUUCCCCAACUUCGAAACUGCAGCAGGAAGCUUCAGAUCUGACAUCCAGAGCGAGCAAGUCCUCCUUGUCUCCAGCCCUGUUAUUCCUGUCUGUCACCAGCUUGAAAAAAAAAUCAGGCUCCCGCGCCCCAAUUUUCUCUCCAUCAGCAAGAAAAACUUCCAUGUCAAGGGCAUCCAAAGCCUGCCCGAUUUUCUCUGUGGAGCUUUAGAUGCCCAUGGGGAUGGUAUCUGAGAAGAGAAGAUAAAACCUUUUUGUAAGGAUGGUGGUGAUGGAUCCCAAUUAUUAUUUGUUUAAUUAAAAGACUCCGGACCGAUGCAGAGGCAACAAUUAACAAUUAUCUUCUGUAAAGAACUUUGACAACAGCUGAAUAAGUUAAUGCAUUAUGAGAUGGAGACAAAUCAUUGCAGCUCUGUCAUUUACGAGGUUGGAGGUGUAAGGGAGAGUCCUCAGGCUUCCACAUACUGUCUGAUUUAAGGGGCUUUUCCUCCUUCUGUUGGAAUAAGCAAGUAGCAAUUUUCUUCUGUUGUGCAGCUGGGAUUAUCUGGGAGCCAGGGAAUUAAGAUCUAAAUGAAAAUUUAUACUAUUCAUUACACUUUAUUAAUAGACCUUGGGGAUGUUUAAUUGUGGAAAUAAAUUAUAGAGGGAUGAA